GCUCCUGUAGUUCAAUGGAUAGAAUGUUGGCCUCCGAAGCCGAAGAUCCGGGUUCGACUCCCGGCGGGAGCACCA
RNAcentral lists this transfer RNA (75 nucleotides) under Opitutaceae bacterium. Its description in RNAcentral is "tRNA-Arg". It matches the Rfam family "tRNA". Rfam says of the family: Transfer RNA (tRNA) molecules are approximately 80 nucleotides in length. Their secondary structure includes four short double-helical elements and three loops (D, anti-codon, and T loops). Lineage: Bacteria; Pseudomonadati; Verrucomicrobiota; Opitutia; Opitutales; Opitutaceae. The record is from RNAcentral.